AUAAUAAUAACAAUAAGAUAUCGAAAAGAUCAAAGUAAAUAAUCUGAGAUUCGGCAAUAUAUUUAAGACGGGUUAUGUUCACAUAAAUUGUGUUUGGUAAAGACUGUCACUAUAUGUAGUGAACCAGUCUUCGGCUUAUACUCACUGAAGAUUAGUAUUCAGGGGAGAUAAUUUAGUAAUGUCUUAAUUCUGGAACGGUUGCGAAGAAAAACAAAUAAUGCGAGAAUAUUUAGUGCGAUUCGCUACACAAUUAUGAUGUCAUUGAUAUAAUUUUUCCUGAGGUUCGUUGUUUUCUUAAUUGAGCUUGGUGGAGAUCAAGAAGGCGUCCGCGACUCCGAGAGUGUGUGUCUACCGUGGUCUGCUACCUUAAGUGCCCAGCCGCCUGCGCCAACUGUAAGGUUGACAAGCUCUGUCCCACGGAAGUCGAGUGAACAGCAGAAUGACAAAGGGCAGGAAAGUUAUGUCUGUAAGAGAAGCUCUUCGGUGCAAGUCGGUAAACUGUUGAGUGCAAGCUUUCAACCAUAUAAGUAUUGAAAAGCUUCCACAUGUAUUUUAGGCCGUCUUCAUUAAACAUUUUCUCCAACUCUUUCUCAAUCAGGAUCUGGUCUUUAUUAUGAAGUUGCAAAUGCACUCCAUAUGGCAAACAAUUUGUACUGUACAGGUGACCUCUGCAUACAAAUGAAGUUCCUUUACAAUGGCGGUGAUCAUCAGGCAAGCAUUUAAUUAUGACGCGCACUGCUGCGGCUCCAGCGCGUAUGAAGGACCCGUCUCCUUUUAUCAGAGCUCAGGCAUUCUUGAGCUCCAUGCGGACUCUACCUCUAAGACAACUGGCCAGUUUCUGCAUAUAGGCUUGCCUGUCAUAUGUUUUAGGUAUACUGCACAGUUGAAGUGCUCUGAUGUGCUUCUCAAGUGUCAACCCUCCCUCAAUGUAUGAAGCAUUUUUAAUGUGAGAAAUUCAUGUUUUUUUCAGCUUUGUAUUCCCGCAGAGCUUUAGCAAGCUGCGUGCUGGCAUCUGUGGUGACAGAGCGUAGAGUAAUGAGGCCUGCUGUUCUCACAUUGUUUAAUUUUUCGUUGAGUAGAGAGCGCUCACUGGCGGCUAUUGACUUUUCGGAGCUGUAUGUUUUUCGGCAUUUGUCUUGUCUAUGGUCACAGCCCUUUCUUCUGCAGUGCCUGUUGGCCACAGCAGCUGCAAUAGGGAGCUUUCUCGUUGUCGUAUGCUCAAUAAUGGCUGCAAAGCUCUGUUGAGCCUUCUCACUACCACCUUGCGGCCGACUUGAAUAUGACACAUCAUAUUGCGUAUAAAUUCCCGAUAUGGCAGGAAGAAGUGACGUGACUUGCCGCAGGUAUUCUUGAUUUUUUAUAAACUGCCUCUCAUUGACUGCUGCCAUUUUGUCACACACAGCAUUACAUUUUUUUGCAUGGCUGUCCUACUGGGAGCUUUUAUAUUGAGGCAUGUGAUGACUGUUGCUAUGUCUGUGAGGCCCAUUUUUGUCUUCACUGCAGGAAUAACUGCCAUUUCAUUAAGUGCACCAGCUGGUGGGCAUUUAGCCGUCUCCACGGCGUCAGACAUCUGGAUGGGUUCUAGGCUGAAAUUGCAGGAAUUACAUUUGACAGCAACGGAAACACAUAACCCCAUUCUGUAAAAAACAUGGACUGCGACCCUUGGGUUUUCGCAGCUUGCCUUGUGA
Dreissena polymorpha is the source of this 1688-nucleotide long non-coding RNA. RefSeq lists it as uncharacterized. The transcript is spliced from 3 exons. Lineage: Eukaryota; Metazoa; Mollusca; Bivalvia; Myida; Dreissenidae. The record is from RefSeq and is a predicted model, not a curated record.